RNAcentral lists this ribosomal RNA (468 nucleotides) under uncultured bacterium. Its description in RNAcentral is "partial 16S ribosomal RNA". It matches the Rfam family "Bacterial small subunit ribosomal RNA", at positions 28 to 507 of the family's 1533-position model. The record is from RNAcentral.
GACGAACGCUGGCGGCGUGCUUAACACAUGCAAGUCGAACGGAAAGGCCCUGCUUUUGUGGGGUGCUCGAGUGGCGAACGGGUGAGUAACACGUGAGUAACCUGCCCUUGACUUUGGGAUAACUUCAGGAAACUGGGGCUAAUACCGGAUAGGAGCUCCUGCUGCAUGGUGGGGGUUGGAAAGUUUCGGCGGUUGGGGAUGGACUCGCGGCUUAUCAGCUUGUUGGUGGGGUAGUGGCUUACCAAGGCUUUGACGGGUAGCCGGCCUGAGAGGGUGACCGGCCACAUUGGGACGGAGAUACGGCCCAGACGCCUACGGGAGGCAGCAGUGGGGAAUAUGGCACAAUGGGCGGAAGCCUGAUGCAGCAACGCCGCGUGCGGGAUGACGGCCUUCGGGUUGUAAACCGAUUACGCCUGUGACGAAGCGUGAGUGACGGUAAUGGGUAAAGAAGCACCGGCUAACUACGUG